This 443-nucleotide ribosomal RNA is filed under the name uncultured bacterium. Its description in RNAcentral is "partial 16S ribosomal RNA". It matches the Rfam family "Bacterial small subunit ribosomal RNA", at positions 338 to 795 of the family's 1533-position model. The record is from RNAcentral.
CCUACGGGUGGCUGCAGUGGGGAAUAUUGCGCAAUGGGCGCAAGCCUGACCCAGCAACGCCGCGUGUAGGAAGACGGCUUUCGGGUUGUAAACUUCUUUUCUCAGGGACGAAGCAAGUCACGGUACCUGAUGAAUAAGCCACGGCUAACUACGUGCCAGGAGCCGCGGUAAUGCGUGGGUGGCAAGCGUUAUUCGGAUUUACUGGGUGUAAAGGGAGCGUAGACGGUGGGCCAAGCGUGGAGUGAAAUGCCGCAGCUUAAAUGCGGAACUGCUUUGGAAACUGGCGAACUAGAGUGCGGGAGAGGCAAGCGGAAUUCCUAGUGUAGCGGUGAAAUGCGUAGAUAUUAGGAGGAACACCGGUGGCGAAGGCGGCCUACUGGACCGUAACUGACGUUGAGGCUCGAAAGUGUGGGGAGCAAACAGGAUUAGAUACCCCAGUAGUC